UACGUAGGGCGCAAGCGUUGUCCGGAAUUAUUGGGCGUAAAGAGCUCGUAGGCGGCCAGUUGCGUCCGCUGUGAAAUCCCGGGGCUUAACCCCGGGCGUGCAGUGGAUACGGGCUGGCUAGAGGCAGGCAGGGGAGAACGGAAUUCCCGGUGUAGCGGUGAAAUGCGCAGAUAUCAGGAGGAACACCGGUGGCGAAGGCGGGUCUCUGGGCCGAUACUGACACUGAGAAGCGAAAGCGUGGGGAGCGAACAGG
This 253-nucleotide ribosomal RNA is filed under the name uncultured bacterium. RNAcentral describes it as "partial 16S ribosomal RNA". It matches the Rfam family "Bacterial small subunit ribosomal RNA", at positions 524 to 776 of the family's 1533-position model. The record is from RNAcentral.